GUGGGGAAUAUUGGACAAUGGGCGAAAGCCUGAUCCAGCCAUGCCGCGUGUGUGAAGAAGGUCUUCGGAUUGUAAAGCACUUUAAGUUGGGAGGAAGGGCAGUAAGUUAAUACCUUGCUGUUUUGACGUUACCGACAGAAUAAGCACCGGCUAACUACGUGCCAGCAGCCGCGGUAAUACGUAGGGUGCAAGCGUUAAUCGGAAUUACUGGGCGUAAAGCGCGCGUAGGUGGUUUUGUAAGUUGGAGGUGAAAUCCCCGGGCUCAACCUGGGAACUGCCUCCAAAACUGCAUGACUAGAGUACGGUAGAGGGUAGUGGAAUUUCCUGUGUAGCGGUGAAAUGCGUAGAUAUAGGAAGGAACACCAGUGGCGAAGGCGACUACCUGGACUGAUACUGACACUGAGGUGCGAAAGCGUGGGGAGCAAACAGGAUUAGAUACCCGGGUAGUCC
Molecule: ribosomal RNA, 450 nt
Filed under: uncultured bacterium
Lineage: Bacteria
Description: partial 16S ribosomal RNA
Rfam family: Bacterial small subunit ribosomal RNA
Source: RNAcentral